RNAcentral lists this ribosomal RNA (403 nucleotides) under bacterium. RNAcentral's name for it is "partial 16S ribosomal RNA". It matches the Rfam family "Bacterial small subunit ribosomal RNA", at positions 355 to 776 of the family's 1533-position model. The record is from RNAcentral.
UGGGGAAUAUUGCACAAUGGAAGGAACUCUGAUGCAGCGACGCCGCGUGAACGAAGAAGGCUUUCGAGUCGUAAAGUUCUUUUAUAUGGGAAGAUAAUGACGGUACCAUAAGAAAAAGCCCCGGCUAACUACGUGCCAGCAGCCGCGGUAAUACGUAGGGGGCUAGCGUUGUCCGGAAUCACUGGGCGUAAAGGGUUCGCAGGCGGAAAUGCAAGUCAGGUGUAAAAGGCAGUAGCUUAACUACUGUAAGCAUUUGAAACUGCAUAUCUUGAGAAGAGUAGAGGUAAGUGGAAUUUUUAGUGUAGCGGUGAAAUGCGUAGAUAUUAAAAAGAAUACCGGUGGCGAAGGCGACUUACUGGGCUCAUUCUGACGCUGAGGAACGAAAGCGUGGGUAGCAAACAGG